GGUCAGAUGGCCGAGCGGUCUAAGGCGCCACGUUAAGGUUAACCCUUAAUUCAAUCAUUGAUUCCGUGGUCCGAAAGGGCGUGGGUUCGAAUCCCACUCUGAUCA
Podospora appendiculata is the source of this 105-nucleotide non-coding RNA. The record is from the annotation of a GenBank genome assembly. NCBI's taxonomy places the organism in Eukaryota, Fungi, Ascomycota, Sordariomycetes, Sordariales, Podosporaceae.